AACUACGGGAGGUAACUUACGGUAACGAACGGAGCUAAUACCGGAUAAUAUAUUGAACCGCAUGGUUCAAUGGUGAAAGACGGUUUUGCUGUCACUUAUAGAUGGAUCCGCGCCGCAUUAGCUAGUUGGUAAGGUAACGGCUUACCAAGGCAACGAUGCGUAGCCGACCUGAGAGGGUGAUCGGCCACACUGGAACUGAGACACGGUCCAGACUCCUACGGGAGGCAGCAGCC
Molecule: ribosomal RNA, 233 nt
Filed under: uncultured Staphylococcus sp.
Lineage: Bacteria; Bacillati; Bacillota; Bacilli; Caryophanales; Staphylococcaceae
Description: partial 16S ribosomal RNA
Rfam family: Bacterial small subunit ribosomal RNA
Source: RNAcentral